AGCUCAAAUGGUUAGGUGUGCCC
This 23-nucleotide non-coding RNA is filed under the name Arabidopsis thaliana (thale cress). Lineage: Eukaryota; Viridiplantae; Streptophyta; Magnoliopsida; Brassicales; Brassicaceae. The record is from RNAcentral.